RNAcentral lists this ribosomal RNA (506 nucleotides) under uncultured bacterium. Its description in RNAcentral is "partial 16S ribosomal RNA". It matches the Rfam family "Bacterial small subunit ribosomal RNA", at positions 30 to 523 of the family's 1533-position model. The record is from RNAcentral.
AUUGAACGCUGGCGGCAUGCUUUACACAUGCAAGUCGAACGGUAGAGGGGGCAACCCCUUGAGAGUGGCGAACGGGUGAGUAAUGCAUCGGAACGUGCCCAGUCGUGGGGGAUAACGCAGCGAAAGCUGUGCUAAUACCGCAUACGAUCUCUGGAUGAAAGCGGGGGACCUUGUAGCAAUACGGGGCCUCGCCGGAUUGGAGCGGCCGAUGUCAGAUUAGGUAGUUGGUGGGGUAAAGGCUCACCAAGCCAACGAUCUGUAGCUGGUCUGAGAGGACGACCAGCCACACUGGGACUGAGACACGGCCCAGACUCCUACGGGAGGCAGCAGUGGGGAAUUUUGGACAAUGGGCGCAAGCCUGAUCCAGCAAUGCCGCGUGCAGGAAGAAGGCCUUCGGGUUGUAAACUGCUUUUGUACGGAACGAAAAGGUCUGGGUUAAUACCCUGGGCACAUGACGGUACCGUAAGAAUAAGCACCGGCUAACUACGUGCCAGCCGCCGCGGUAA